CGGCAACAGCUCAAAUUUGAAAUCUGGUCCGUCAGGGCCCGAAUUGUAAUUUGGAGAGGAUGCCUCGGGUGCGGCGCCGGUCCAAGUCCCUUGGAACGGGGCGUCACAGAGGGUGAGAAUCCCGUACGUGGCCGGCAGCCAAUUCCAUGUGAGGCUCCUUCGAC
This 164-nucleotide ribosomal RNA is filed under the name Lecanorales sp. RNAcentral describes it as "partial large subunit ribosomal RNA". It matches the Rfam family "Eukaryotic large subunit ribosomal RNA", at positions 99 to 261 of the family's 3401-position model. The record is from RNAcentral. Lineage: Eukaryota; Fungi; Ascomycota; Lecanoromycetes; Lecanorales.